GUCACACACCAGCUCAUGUGAGUAUGUCACCAUCUGUUUUUCUCUUUCAUCUCUUUUCUCCAGUUGGGCUCUGGGCUACCUUUGCAAAUUGCAACCGCCUUUUUGGGUCGUCACAAUCGUCUGAGCUUCUCCUUCUUCUCCUUCCAUCCGUUAUUCUUUUCUUCAUCCUGAGCUCAACUUUAAGUGGGUAGCUUUCUCUCUCUCUGUCUCUCUCCAUGGCUAGCGUGGGUGUUGUUCCAGAUCACAGUUCUGAUGAGCAAAUCGAGAAGAAGGGAAUUGAAGAACUGCAGACUGUUGAACAAGGGGGUAUUCCUCCAUCCAGUGAAAAUAAAGUGCCUGAUGGAGAAGAAGAGGCCAAAGCUCAGGAGGAAUCUGUAAGUGACAACGUACCUACUGAAUCAGAGCAAGAAGUGGCAAAUACACAGAUUGUGCCUCCUGUUGUUACAGAUGCUGAAAAAGUUGAAAAGUUUGAUGAGGCCCCUCAUUCAGAUGUUCCAGUUACAGAUGAUUCACAAGUGGGAGUAAGUCCAGAUUCGAUACUGGAUAUAUCCUCUGUUCCAGGAUCUGUUGUUGAGGCUGUUGAAAAAAAAACAGAGGAAUCACCAGAUGUUACUGAAUCAUCAGUUGAAGCCUUGGAGAAACCAGUGGAACACUUGAAAGAAUCUCCUCCAGGAGAUUCAGAAUCAGAAGUGGGAAAAGAGCCAGAAGAAGUUUCUGUGGUGGAGCGUAAACUGGUAGAAAAACCAGAAUCAGUUGUGGAAGUGGAAAGGAAACAACAAGAACAAUCUCAACAAUUUGACGAGAAAUCUGAGAUGCUUGAGCCUAAGGAGACGGUGGAUAGAGAUAUCACCAAUGAUGGAGGGACCAAAGUUGAUGAGUCUUCGAAGGAAGAAAUUUCCAUUCUGGAACCUCAAAUGGUAGAAAAGCCAGAAUCAGUUGUUGAGGUCGUAGGAAAACCUCAAGAGGCUGGAGAAGUUGAGGAGAAAUCUGAGACGCUUGAGCCCAAAAAAAGUAUCAAUAAUGAUGGAGGAAAAGAUGGAGAGACCCAGGUAGACGAGUCCUUGAAGGAAGAAGUUUCUGUAGUGGAACCUCAAACACUAGAAAAGUCGGAAUCAGUCAAUGAGAUGGGAGGAAAACCAUCAGAACAGGCUGGAGAAGUUGAGAAGAAAUCUGAGAUGCUUGAGCCCAAAGAAAGUAACAAUCAUUAUGGGGGAAUAUAUGGAGAAACCCAAGCAGACGAGUCCUUGAAGGAAGAGGUUUCUGUAGUGGAACCUCAAACACGAGAAAAGUCAGAAUCAGUCGAUGAGAUGGGAGGAAAACCAUCAGAACAGGCUGGAGAAGUUGAGAAGAACUCAGAGAUUCUGGAGCCUAAGGAGAGCAUGGACAGUGAUGUCACGAAAGAUGAACCAACACCAAUUGAAAUGGUCAAGUAUACUGAGCCCUUGAAGGAAGAAGAGGUCACUAAAGAUCAGGACAUUGUUGCAUCUGAAUCAGAUACAGUAGUUUGUGCUGGUCAGGAAGCAGAUUUUGGUCUGAAAGAAGAUGGAAUAAGAUCUGUUACUCCAGAUAUCGUGGAAAAUGUCAGUGUCGAUGAUACUGAGAAAGAAGUUGGGGUUGAUGGGGAGAAGGAAGCAAUGCAAGUGGGAGAGUGUGAAGCAAAUAAGGAAGAGAAAGUUAUGAACACUGAAGAAAGCAAAGACUUGGAUGUGAAAAUAGAGGAGCUGACGGAACCUGUGCGAACUGAAACCAUUGAAGAAAAGGAGGCAAUGGAUACUAAAAUUGAAGAGAAUGAAGAAAAUAAUGUCAAAAAAGAGGAAUCAAUGCUACCCGAGCCAACAGGAAACAAGGACGUGGGUGGCUCCUGUGCGGCAACUAAAGUUGCGGAAAAAUCUUCCAAGGAACAGAGUGCUUCUAGAGAUGCUGAAGUGGUCAUUGAAGAGAAAAAAGAGCAGGAUGCCAAAGUUGAUACACCAGAUUUAAAUGGUAAAGUGCAGGAUGCCAAAGUUGAUACACCAGAUUUAAAUGGUAAAGUGGAUGUGGUAGAUACUAAUGUUAUCAAUGAACCCAUUGCAGAGUCCAAGGAGUCAGAGUUAGAAGGGAAGGUGGAGGAAGCAAUACAGUCCUGUGUAGAUAAUGUGGAUAAAAGAGAAGUGCCUGAAGAAACUGCAAAAUCUGGAUCUCCAAAUGUGGAAUUAUCCAAAAUUGAGGAUAACUCAAAAACUGAUCAGGAACCUCCUAAACAAGAAGUUCCAGCAAAGCCCUCUCAAAAGCAAUCUAAUAACAUCAUAUCAAAGGUGAAGCAGUCAUUUGUGAAGGUCAAGAAAGCAAUCAUUGGGAAAUCUCCAAGCUCAAAAACCCUCUCUUCUGCAGCCAAGGGUGAUAUACAAGUUAAAUAAUGGACAAGGGUCAAGGGAAGUUUCAAGUUGAAUUGCCAAACAUGUUUUUCCUCUGGUGAUUGGUGUGUCAUAGAUGCUGUAAAUGUCAGGUUUGCUGUGUCUUCCAUGGGGUGCCCGUGGGAUGGCAAGUGGGUGUAUAUAGAAGGCAUGGAUCGUUAAGCUUCAGGAGAAACUAGCAGCUGCAAAUCUGCUUCCUUAGCUUCCAUACCACCAUUUCAAAAGAAAUAACCACUCUUCAAUUUCGUUUUCUCCAACCAUUUCUCAAUUCUCAUACAGGCACGGAUUGCAAAACUUCAGGAGAAACUCACUGCUGCAAGCUUUCUGGAAUUUUCAGGUUUAUCAUUACCUCUUAUCAGGUUAAGUUGACCAUUGUUUUCCUCAGUCUAUUUGUAAAUAAAUCAAUAGAUCGCUUAAUAGAGUUUGAUUUAUUUGUGGUUUGGAUUUUUCACUACUGAAAUGUGAAAUAUUGGAAAAUCUGAAUGGAAGUUCUUUGAGUCUUUUUCAUAGUGAA
RNA transcript from Macadamia integrifolia, 2907 nucleotides. It is a transcript of the gene named probable serine/threonine-protein kinase kinX, with no coding region annotated. NCBI's taxonomy places the organism in Eukaryota, Viridiplantae, Streptophyta, Magnoliopsida, Proteales, Proteaceae. The transcript is spliced from 3 exons. The record is from RefSeq and is a predicted model, not a curated record.